GAGAGGGAGCACGCGGUUUACGGUGAAUAAUCACUGAGGAAAGUCCUCCCGCCUUCAGGCACGCAGCCGUACGCAAGUACGGGUGGCGAGAGUCACAGCUCUGGAACAGAAACGAUACGCAUCCGGCGGAGUAAUGACGCAGAAAUGCAGAACGCUGAAACCGGUAUGCGAUGGAACGGCGAAUCUCUGCGGGCGAAAGUUGAAACAGGGUUAAAAGACCGCCUGAUCAAUACCCGGGUACAACGCUAAGCCAAAUACCGCUAAAACAGAAGGAGGCUUAUCACUCCGACUC
This 292-nucleotide RNase P RNA is filed under the name Methanocorpusculum sp. Its description in RNAcentral is "RNase P RNA component". It matches the Rfam family "Archaeal RNase P". From Rfam's summary of the family: Ribonuclease P (RNase P) is a ubiquitous endoribonuclease, found in archaea, bacteria and eukarya as well as chloroplasts and mitochondria. Its best characterised activity is the generation of mature 5'-ends of tRNAs by cleaving the 5'-leader elements of precursor-tRNAs. The record is from RNAcentral. RNAcentral also lists the same sequence under 1 other name. Lineage: Archaea; Methanobacteriati; Methanobacteriota; Methanomicrobia; Methanomicrobiales; Methanocorpusculaceae.